Molecule: ribosomal RNA, 465 nt
Filed under: uncultured ammonia-oxidizing bacterium
Lineage: Bacteria
Description: bacterial SSU rRNA
Rfam family: Bacterial small subunit ribosomal RNA
Source: RNAcentral
GGAGGAAAGUAGGGGAUCGAAAGACCUUAUGCUUUUGGAGCGGCCGAUGUCUGAUUAGCUAGUUGGUAAGGUAAUGGCUUACCAAGGCAACGAUCAGUAGUUGGUCUGAGAGGACGACCAGCCACACUGGGACUGAGACACGGCCCAGACUCCUACGGGAGGCGGCAGUGGGGAAUUUUGGACAAUGGGCGCAAGCCUGAUCCAGCAAUGCCGCGUGAGUGAAGAAGGCCUUCGGGUUGUAAAGCUCUUUCAGUUGAGAAGAAAAGAUUGUGACUAAUAAUUGCAAUUCAUGACGGUAUCAACAGAAGAAGCACCGGCUAACUACGUGCCAGCAGCCGCGGUAAUACGUAGGGUGCGAGCGUUAAUCGGAAUUACUGGGCGUAAAGGGUGCGCAGGCGGUUCUGUAAGUCAGAUGUGAAAUCCCCGGGCUUAACCUGGGAACUGCGUUUGAAACUACAAAGCUAG